Molecule: unclassified non-coding RNA, 322 nt
Filed under: rhizosphere metagenome
Description: partial ribosomal RNA internal transcribed spacer region
Source: RNAcentral
GUAGGUGAACCUGCGGAAGGAUCAUUAUCACGUUCCAAACGUUACCAACCAACCGUGAACCGUUUUCAACACGCCCCUAUGACUUCAUGACCUUCGGGUGUAGUCGUCGUGGGUAAGUCUAUCACGCUUGUGCAGUCCUCUUUUAUUAGUCGACGGUUCUGAGCGGCGGUAGCGCAAUCUUAACCCUUAUCUCCCCCUUUUUGCUAGUUGACUUUAGUACUGUGGUCGAUUUGUGCGGGUAACUCUGCGCAAGUUAUGGAUCACACGUUUAAUUACUUGAACGUUAAAAAUACAACUCUUAGCAAUGGAUAUCUUGGUUCUC